This 405-nucleotide ribosomal RNA is filed under the name uncultured bacterium. RNAcentral describes it as "bacterial SSU rRNA". It matches the Rfam family "Bacterial small subunit ribosomal RNA", at positions 30 to 438 of the family's 1533-position model. The record is from RNAcentral.
AUUGAACGCUGGCGGCAUGCCUUACACAUGCAAGUCGAACGGCAGCACGGGAGCAAUCCUGGUGGCGAGUGGCGAACGGGUGAGUAAUAUAUCGGAACGUGCCCAGUCGUGGGGAUAACGUAGCGAAAGCUACGCUAAUACCGCAUACGAUCUAUGGAUGAAAGCGGGGGAUCGCAAGACCUCGCGCGAUUGGAGCGGCCGAUAUCAGAUUAGGUAGUUGGUGAGGUAAAGGCUCACCAAGCCGACGAUCUGUAGCUGGUCUGAGAGGACGACCAGCCACACUGGGACUGAGACACGGCCCAGACUCCUACGGGAGGCAGCAGUGGGGAAUUUUUGGGCAAUGGGCGCGAGCCUGAUCCAGCAAUGCCGCGUGCAGGAUGAAGGCCUCGGUUGUAACUGCUUUGU